Long non-coding RNA from Drosophila obscura, 362 nucleotides. RefSeq lists it as uncharacterized. NCBI's taxonomy places the organism in Eukaryota, Metazoa, Arthropoda, Insecta, Diptera, Drosophilidae. The transcript is spliced from 2 exons. The record is from RefSeq and is a predicted model, not a curated record.
UUUUGUGUUGAGUCCAAGAGGUUGGGCACAGGAGCAGCUUGCGAUCGCGCCUUUGGGGUGUAGCCGGGACCAGCAAAAACUUACCUUUUGGAUAACGUACUUUUGGAUGCAGUUUGCGCCCAGUCCAUCAAAUGGCAGACGUCUAGAGAUUUCCCCUAUCUCUUCGAUGUCAGCCAGCGGCGUACUCAAAAUAAUGCCAGGAAAAUCCUUUCGAUUUUGGUCCAGUCUGUGCCACUUCCAGCAAAUCCAUCGCCCAAUCUAAUACACACAAAAAAAAACAAUUCUAGGAUGAUCAUUAGGCCAGAAUCUAAACGGAGCUAGCUAGCACACUGGCGCCCGCACACCUUUUUGGCCCUCAUCAC